UUCAAUGAAUUUAAUAGAUUU
Molecule: non-coding RNA, 21 nt
Organism: Caenorhabditis elegans
Lineage: Eukaryota; Metazoa; Nematoda; Chromadorea; Rhabditida; Rhabditidae
Source: Ensembl